UAGGUUGAGGAGGCGGUGACCGUGGUGGUGGAGGAUGAUGUAGCCAACUAUAUAUAUAUAUAUAUAUAUAUAUAUUAUAUAUUUGAGGUAGCCCCCAAAAUAUUGGGACAUAUAAAAAAAGUCAACUCUGGUCCGCAGAGUAGCUGUUGACAUUAUAGUUGUGCAGGCACUUUGUUGACUAUAGAAAACCUAGGGCGAAUCGCACAUCUCCGUAGCUGAGACUUUGCAUGCGGAUGUCAUCCAUAUCAACUUUCAAUGCCAGUUUCUGCGCCUACCAUUGUGACCACGGGUAAUGAGGAUUCAAGGUUCCAUUCUGUACAGGGACACUGAGAAACGGCUACCACAUGCAAGGAAGGCAGCAGGCGCGCAAAUGACCCACUCCCGACGGGGGAAGGUAGUGACGACAAAUAACAAUACAGGACUAUUUAGAGGCCCUGUAAUUGUAAUUAGUCCACUUGAAAUCCUUUAACUCUGAUCGAUUGGAGGAAAGUCUGGUGCAGAGCCACUGAUCCGUG
This 515-nucleotide ribosomal RNA is filed under the name Pelobates cultripes (western spadefoot toad). It matches the Rfam family "Eukaryotic small subunit ribosomal RNA", at positions 74 to 578 of the family's 1831-position model. Lineage: Eukaryota; Metazoa; Chordata; Amphibia; Anura; Pelobatidae. The record is from RNAcentral.